Molecule: long non-coding RNA, 2412 nt
Filed under: Panax ginseng (ginseng)
Lineage: Eukaryota; Viridiplantae; Streptophyta; Magnoliopsida; Apiales; Araliaceae
Description: long non-coding RNA (PGIN_LNC007054)
Source: RNAcentral
GCCAACAUAACUAAUCCAAACCCCACUAGUAGUUCCUGCACCUAAACAAUAGCAUUAGCAGCACUUGCAAUCCUUGGCCACAGAUCAGCACACUCUUUUCCUAUUGGGCCAGUAAUGGCAGAUCCUACACACAUUAAAAGCAGAAACCAUAAGUACAAUAAAAACAACAUGGAUUAAAAGUAGUGAAAGUUAUAAAAAUAACUUUGUGGAAAUCUAAACAUUUUUUUUUCAGAAUGACGAGUAAACUGCAUAUAGACUUAAGAAUACAGACAUAAUAUAAAGCUUCCUUUUUUUAUCUGCUUACAUUGAUAAUGAAUUACAAAUUUUACAAUAUAUAUAUAUAUACAGUCAAGAUCCUAUCAGCUCUCCCGUACAAAUGUUAAAAUCCGAACUUCCGUGGGAUUAUAUCAGACGGUUGGGAAAGGAAAUGGUUGGAAAAAAAACGCGGACCUCCAUUUCAAACGGGUUACGGGUUAUUCAGAUCUGGCCUCCAUCUCCAUUUCACAAACCACGUCUCUCUUUCUCUCACAAAGCUCUAGCCGUUGUUGAAUCGCGUCUCUCUCUCUCUCACAAAGCUCCGGACGAAAUUGAAUCGCACAACUCAAUCCCUCACUUCGAUUUUUCUGGUUCCACAUCUCAAUUUGGUAAGGGCUUCGAUUUGGAUGACUUCUUUUCCUUUUCCGAUUUGAAAAUUAUAUAUUUCAUCUUUGUUUGGAGUUGGAAAAGGGGUUUUGUUACAUUUCUGCUUCUAAACUUCUAAAAGGGUUGGUUUCUUAUUUUUUUGUUCUUUUUUGUUUUUGUUUUUCUCUUCUCUCUGAAAAAAUUGUCUGUGAGACUGAGGUGUUAAUCAAAUUUUUGCUAAGCUAGUAUUUUCCUGUGAUUGAUGAUGAGUGGAAAUUGGUAAGUAUGAUGCCUUGGGGAAUUGCACGUUAUAAUCUGAGAAAUGCUCCCUUGGUGGAUUCCAAUUUUUUUCAAUACUUUUUUUUCAGGGUGUGUAGUUCAUUAAUUAAAAUAAAGAUCAUUUAUGGAUUGAUUGUGAUAUUGUACAGGCACCAAAAGAACAUGUACAUGCACAAUUAUAUAAUAUGUGAUUGUACAUGCACAAUUAUCUGGUGGAUUGAUUGUGAUAUAAUGUGAUCAUGCACUAUAUUAUUUAUGGAUUGAUUGUGACUACUAAACACCAAAUAUGAUAGAGCUUCACAUUUUCCAUUAACUCUUCAAAAUAUGAUAAUCCCAAACUAAUUUUCCAUUAACUCUUCAAAACAAAUUUAUAUAUCGGAGUUGAGGAAACUCAAAAUCCGGUUGGCUUGAACAUGUGAUCAUGCACUAUAUAAUUGUUUUUAUGCUAAUUAUAAUUCAAGAAAUAACAUAUAAAUCUGAAAAACCACAUAAAACGAAUACUUACUAAUUACAAACAUAAACUUUAUGUCCAUUAUGCACAAAUGCUCCAAGUUCUAUGCAGUUGGUUGGAAAUGUUGUAGGUACUUGUUUUCAGCUCUCUGUCUCUGUUGUAUGAAUUUUGUAUAAUUUCGUGCAAUUAUGUUAAUUGAGGUGUUUUACAUUUACUAGCUGGUAUUAAUGUUUAUCUGUUUGAUUUUUUGAACCUUGAACUAAUUGGGAAAAACCAUAAUUUGGUGUCUGCAGAGUAGUAAUGUUUAUAAUUAUGAUGAGAAAGUGAUGGAUGGAUUCUAAGAUAUUUUUGGAAUUGCUUCAAAUUCAGUCACACAAGUGAGAAUGCCAUUAUUGGUGGAUCUAGAAACAUUAUCUGUUUGUUUUAUGCAAGGAAUGUCAACAUGGUUUUUGGCCCAAAUGUGUAACAAGCAAUACGAGGCAUCAGCAUUCAUGAUUAAUUGUUGACACAUAAGUCUUCUUUGAAAACACUUGCUUUCUAAAUUACCUCUGAGAUUAUGGUAUACAAGUCUCAUGAAUAUUUUUUUUGCUUAUUAUGUUUGUUUCUUGAUAGUUGUUAGUUAACUGGUCUAUCUUGGAAUUUUGCUUAUGAUUCAUUUUGAUGUAUAUUUCAAGUGUAUAUUCUUUUGUUUGUUCAUUUGAUUCAUUUGUUUUGAGUUAAAAUUCUUUUUUGACAGCCUCAUGAUUGCGGGUAUUUCAUGUGGUACAAUCCUCCGAUGCAGCCGAGAGUCAUUCAAGUGAUUUUGCUACUUUGGAACCAUCUCUGUGCAAGAAGAUGCUUAAAUAGGAAAAAUUUAUAAUUAAAAUUUGGGAGAUGGAACAGUUAGGGUGUGUGAAGUCCUUAUUUUAAAUGUAAUGAAUUGAUUAUAAUGAAGCAAAAAUAUUGCACUCUGUAAACUCUGUUUAGUGUUAUGGGAAAUGUAAUGUAAACUGUUUAUAUUGCACUCUGUAAACUCUGUAAAAUCUUGUGUCACUAACUAUUAUUGUUAUUUUAAUUCACGC